Molecule: ribosomal RNA, 456 nt
Filed under: uncultured bacterium
Lineage: Bacteria
Description: bacterial SSU rRNA
Rfam family: Bacterial small subunit ribosomal RNA
Source: RNAcentral
GCACAAGCGGUGGAGCAUGUGGUUUAAUUCGACGCAACGCGAAGAACCUUACCUGGGCUCGAAAUGCACAAGAAUCCGGCAGAAACGUCGGCGUCCAGCAAUGGACUUGUGUAUAGGUGCUGCAUGGCUGUCGUCAGCUCGUGUCGUGAGAUGUUGGGUUAAGUCCCGCAACGAGCGCAACCCUUAUCUUCAGUUGCUACCAUUUAGUUGAGCACUCUGACGAAACCGCCUCGGAUAACGGGGAGGAAGGUGGGGAUGACGUCAAGUCCUCAUGGCCUUUAUGUCCAGGGCUACACACGUGCUACAAUGGCCGGUACAAACCGCUGCAAACCCGCGAGGGGGAGCUAAUCGGAAAAAGCCGGCCUCAGUUCGGAUUGGAGUCUGCAACUCGACUCCAUGAAGCUGGAAUCGCUAGUAAUCGUGGAUCAGCAUGCCACGGUGAAUACGUUCCCGGGC